UCCUUUGUAGCUCAGUUGGUAAAGAAUCUGCUUGCAAUGCAGGAGACCUGGGUUUGAUCCCUGGGUAGGGAA
This 72-nucleotide transfer RNA is filed under the name Bos taurus (domestic cattle). It matches the Rfam family "tRNA". From Rfam's summary of the family: Transfer RNA (tRNA) molecules are approximately 80 nucleotides in length. Their secondary structure includes four short double-helical elements and three loops (D, anti-codon, and T loops). Further hydrogen bonds mediate the characteristic L-shaped molecular structure. tRNAs have two regions of fundamental functional importance: the anti-codon, which is responsible for specific mRNA codon recognition, and the 3' end, to which the tRNAs corresponding amino acid is attached (by aminoacyl-tRNA synthetases). tRNAs cope with the degeneracy of the genetic code in two manners: having more than one tRNA (with a specific anti-codon) for a particular amino acid; and 'wobble' base-pairing, i.e. permitting non-standard base-pairing at the 3rd anti-codon position. Lineage: Eukaryota; Metazoa; Chordata; Mammalia; Artiodactyla; Bovidae. RNAcentral also lists the same sequence under 2 other names. The record is from Rfam by way of RNAcentral.